UAGGGAAUCUUCGGCAAUGGACGAAAGUCUGACCGAGCAACGCCGCGUGAGUGAAGAAGGUUUUCGGAUCGUAAAACUCUGUUGUUAGAGAAGAACAAGGACGUUAGUAACUGAACGUCCCCUGACGGUAUCUAACCAGAAAGCCACGGCUAACUACGUGCCAGCAGCCGCGGUAAUACGUAGGUGGCAAGCGUUGUCCGGAUUUAUUGGGCGUAAAGCGAGCGCAGGCGGUUCCUUAAGUCUGAUGUGAAAGCCCCCGGCUCAACCGGGGAGGGUCAUUGGAAACUGGGAGACUUGGGUGCAGAAGAGGAGAGUGGAAUUCCAUGUGUAGCGGUGAAAUGCGUAGAUAUAUGGGGGAACACCAGUGGCGAAGGCGGCUCUCUGGUCUGUAACUGACGCUGAGGCUCGAAAGCGUGGGGAGCAAACAGG
RNAcentral lists this ribosomal RNA (429 nucleotides) under Chloroflexota bacterium. RNAcentral's name for it is "Chloroflexi bacterium partial 16S ribosomal RNA". It matches the Rfam family "Bacterial small subunit ribosomal RNA", at positions 355 to 776 of the family's 1533-position model. The record is from RNAcentral. Lineage: Bacteria; Bacillati; Chloroflexota.